GGAAUGUGAUUGGACCAAUUAAAAAAAUCAAUAAAAUGGGAAAGUUUGAGGGUGGUCACGUGGGAAUGAAAGGAUGAGAGAGAAACUCAUUUAAUCAUCUUCUUCCUCUCGCAAGAACAGAACCUACCAACCCAGAAAUUACAAAACACAUUGCACAGACCUUGUGUUCGAGUACGAGGGGUCCCCGAAAAUUUUAUAGCAGCGAUUUAGGGUCGCCGAAGGGUCCUGGGACCUUGUCCCUCUGUAGAUCCGCCACUGGAUCAGAGCACUACACCCUGUAUGAGAAGGUAGAGCAAGGCGUCAUCGUUUCUUUACACCGCGCUUUCUGUAAGCCGUUGAAGGAGAUUGUUACCAUCAAAAUCCUUGAUUGCGAUCUGGUAUUUCAAUCUUUUGGUACUAAACCUAUCUAAUUAUCAAUUGGUAGGUAGAGAAGUUCAUGGGGUAUUAUAUGUAGUUUUGGAAGAUACAAACAUUUAGUUUUGGUUUUAUUGAUAUUUCCAUGACCCCAUUGAAAAUUAGCCAAAUUACCAUGUGGAUUUGCUUAGAUUGCCCAAUCCCGAGGUGUUUAUUUCCAUGAUAAUGUCGGUGUUUGAACAUUGUUCUGUGUAUUUUUUCUUUCAACAGAAUAACAUUUUUCAGGAAGCAUAAACAAUGAUUCUCGUCAACCAUCCUACUGUCCUCAAAUCACAUUGUUCCUUUGUUAGUGAUCAUAAUUUGUGGGUUGUCACGCCGUUCAUGGUUGGGGGUUCUUGUCUUCGCAUUUUGAAGGCAACAUAUCCGGAUGGUUUUGAGGAAGAUGUUAUAGCCACUGUAUUACGUGAGAUUUUGAAGGGUUUAGAGUAUCUUCAUCAUCAUGGCCAUAUUCAUCGAGAUGUCAAAGAUGACACCAGAGGUUAUGGAGCAAUUACAUGGUUAUGAUUUCAAGGCAAAUAUUUGGUCUUUUGGUAAAACUAGAUAUUGGAGCUUGCCCAUGGUCACGCUUUUUUUCUCAAAGUAUCCUCCAAUGAAGGUGCAUAUUAAUUGACACUGUAUUCUUUUGUGAACAUGACACACCCCGAUCCGAAUCAGGGCAUGCUGGCCGUCACAUGAGGGUGACGUAGCCAUGUGCACAGUGCAGAAACAAUAAUGAUAAUAGAGAAUACGAAUAAAUAGAAACCAACUCAUAAGAGUACUAGCUA
Molecule: RNA transcript, 1178 nt
Organism: Malus domestica (apple)
Lineage: Eukaryota; Viridiplantae; Streptophyta; Magnoliopsida; Rosales; Rosaceae
Gene name: serine/threonine-protein kinase BLUS1-like
Source: RefSeq, a predicted model, not a curated record